Molecule: small RNA, 141 nt
Filed under: Salmonella enterica
Lineage: Bacteria; Pseudomonadati; Pseudomonadota; Gammaproteobacteria; Enterobacterales; Enterobacteriaceae
Description: RtT sRNA
Rfam family: RtT RNA
About the family: This family represents a bacterial cis-regulatory element known as RtT RNA.
Source: RNAcentral
CGAGCGAUCAUAAGGGAGCUGACCGCAAAUCUGCCGUCAUCGACUUCAAGGUUCGACUCGAGCAAUAGUGAGAGAACGUUGCCGCAGGCAACGGUCCGAAGGGUGAGGAGCUUUAGCUCCGAAUAAUCCUUCCCGCUAUAG